UACUCUUCAGUAUUGAUACUUAGAUUUCAAGUUUCGCUACCCAAUAUCCAAAAACGUUAAAUCUUUGACUUUUUUACCGUGAUAUCAACUUGGAACAUGGCUUUACAUAAUCCAACAUGCAGUACAAUAGUGGCAAAAUGCAAAAUGUUUGAUUGCUAUGAGAGUCGUUAAUUUUGUUAAGAUGUAUGCAGAAUUGACAUAUUAGGUAAGAGAUGAAAAUUUAAUGUGGAAAUUGAUGUUGAAUGUGGAAAUUAAAGAAUCCACGACCUUGCGAAAUGGUAGAAAUCUAGGAUUAGCUUUGAUACCAUGUUACCCAAACUAUCGUUGUGAUAGAAAAUAGUCAAAAAAAUAUGUUUAACAUGUGAGACCCAAGAUUUGAAAUAGUUUUAUAUAUAAGGUAUGUUUAAGAUUAAAAAAAUUUAAA
RNAcentral lists this long non-coding RNA (424 nucleotides) under Ananas comosus (pineapple). Its description in RNAcentral is "long non-coding RNA (ACOM_LNC043133)". Lineage: Eukaryota; Viridiplantae; Streptophyta; Magnoliopsida; Poales; Bromeliaceae. The record is from RNAcentral.